Molecule: ribosomal RNA, 451 nt
Filed under: uncultured bacterium
Lineage: Bacteria
Description: partial 16S ribosomal RNA
Rfam family: Bacterial small subunit ribosomal RNA
Source: RNAcentral
AACGAACGCUGGCGGCAGGCUUAACACAUGCAAGUCGAACGGACGUAGCAAUACGUUAGUGGCAGACGGGUGAGUAACGCGUGGGAAUAUGCCCUUUAGUUCGGAAUAACUCAGGGAAACUUGAGCUAAUACCGGAUAAUCCCGAGAGGGGAAAGAUUUAUCGCUGAAGGAGUAGCCCGCGUCUGAUUAGCUAGUUGGUGAGGUAAUGGCUCACCAAGGCGACGAUCAGUAGCUGGUCUGAGAGGAUGAUCAGCCACACUGGGACUGAGACACGGCCCAGACUCCUACGGGAGGCAGCAGUGGGGAAUAUUGGACAAUGGGCGAAAGCCUGAUCCAGCAAUGCCGCGUGAGUGAUGAAGGCCCUAGGGUUGUAAAGCUCUUUUACCCGGGAUGAUAAUGACAGUACCGGGAGAAUAAGCCCCGGCUAACUCCGUGCCAGCCGCCGCGGUAA